This 4353-nucleotide unclassified non-coding RNA is filed under the name Hevea brasiliensis (rubber tree). The record is from RNAcentral. Lineage: Eukaryota; Viridiplantae; Streptophyta; Magnoliopsida; Malpighiales; Euphorbiaceae.
GAAUUCUUCAUGUCAUGCCAAACCAGACAAGUUAAGAUUCCUGUUGCUUAUCACGAGGUUCAUGGUUUCUUUUUUUCUUUUAUCUAUUUAUUUUUUUAUUUUAUGGUCGUUUUCAAAGCUGUUUAUCCUUUUAGCUUGUAUGCUUCAUGUGCUGUAGGAACUUUGAGAAACUCUGUAUGCUGUAGGCGAUCUUUUUUUUUUCUUUUUCUUUACCCUUGUUGUUUGUUAGUCUAUUGGGAAGAUAUUUUAGCUAGUUUUUCCAUAUUGUGGAAAGAAGGUUGCUAGUGCGGGGGCAAAAAGAAAGAAAAAAGAAGAAAUCUUGAAUUAUGUUCUGGGUAAGCAAAGAACAUAGGUUCAUUUCCAAAAGUUUUUAUCUUUCAACCAAAACCGUUAAGAAUUUGAAUGGCCUGGCUAAAUAAAUCCUGUUGAGUCUUCGAUUGAAUUAGUAUGGCAGCAUUGCUGCACUGUGUAUAUAAUGGUACUUUUGUGGUGAUAUGAUAUUGGAGUUUGUAUAUUCUCUGUGUGGCUGUACCCGGGUUUUUCUUCACCAGCUCUCAUGCCUGUCUCAAUAUUUAGAUAUGAAACAUGUUUGAGUCGACAUCAGUGUAUCUGAACUUUGUUUCAUUGUCAAUGAUCAAGGAGUUGCCAGAAUUUCUGGAGACAUUUAUUGUUUAAAGUGAAACCAGAUCAUGGCUUUUGGCAGUUUAGCAGAUGUGCUAUAAUGCUAUCAGAACUCAGAAAUAAUUGAGCUGUAGAAAUUAUAUGCAUAAUUGUUGGUGGUCAUGUUACACGUAAGGUGCGGAGGGUAAAGGGAAGCAUAGUGAUAGCAGAUCUUGAGGAAGUGCAAGGAAGGGGAGGAGAUGAUUUCUAUUGUUAAGUAUUGAGAUUGAUCAUGCAUUGACAUUGAAUUGUUUGUAUAAAUAGCUUCUUCGGGCCUUUAUUUUAUGCUAAUGAUUGGUGUUAUAGAGUUUAUGCUAACUGUUUGAAUUAUAUGUUCUGUUUGGAAAAUAAUUUGCAUUAUUUAUUUGAAUGCUUACCUAAUAGUGAUAAUGCGUGGAAUAUUUGGGCUGACACCAUUUUCUUGACAAUGUCUUUCCUAGAUUGAUUGAUUUCCCAAGUAUUGCUAAUGCUGCCUAUUUCAUAACCGGCAACAAUUUUUUCAUUUGCUGUGCAAGGAUGGAGUAUCAACUAGAGGAAAAAUCCUCAUGGAAAUUAUGUCUUUAGGCAUGCAAGAUGUGAUGUAAAUUGAUGCAAUUGUUCAAUUCUGUGACGGAGAAAUGAUGAUGCAAGGAGAUUUUGAUCUGAAUCCAGUUCAAAUAUAUACAGAUUCACUUAAAGAAUUUUUGAAGCAGACAAUGCUUGAUCAGGAUGUUGUAUUUAGGAAUCAGGUAUUAUCUCACCUUGGAAGCACAAUGUGUUUUUAGCUAGAUUUGAUGUCAUAUAAUUCCGUUUGAGUGGAUCAAAUCCUUGGGCCACUUCUGAAAUUUAUAGCUUAUCUGAAUACUUGUGGAUUUCCAAUUUCCAAGCUUUUUGGUUAUGUUCAUCAAAUAUGGCUCUCAAGGGUGAGCCAUGAGGCAUGGAUGUUGGAACAGAAGUUAUGCAAAUGCACAAACCAUAGCUUGGCCUCUAUCUUCUCAAUGUAUCUCUAUUUGUUUCUUAAAUUUCUUGAUGCCCAUGAACUCCAUAGGUUUUGGAUUAUGUAAAUAUCACUAAUGAAGGACCUCAGUUGUAAGUAUAUUUUAUUUUUAUGACAUUUGCUUAGGUCCAUGAACUCCAUCGGCUAUACAGAGUACAAGAAUCAUUAAUGAAGGAUUUUGGCUGGAAAGAGUGUAAUAGAUACAUUUCAUGGAAUCCAAAAGCUCAGUCAUCUCUCCUUACUCUUGCAAAUCCUACAAGAUAUGAACCAUUGGCAAAUGAAAAUAGAUACUCCUCAACUACCAAGGUGGAUGCUACACCUUUCAUAAGCCAAGAGUUGUUAAAGGAUUGCCAAGGUGCAUAUCAUAAGCUGCAGCACAGACCUCUUGAUCUUCGACUUUCUGCUGAUGAAUUCAUUAACCAUGUUGAGGAGGAUCUUCCAAAGAGAGGAAAUUUUCAUAAUUGUUUUGAUGGUCUUGGAGACUUUAAGCUUCCUCUUUCUGGCAGUAACUCUUCAGAUGCAGAGGAAUUGAAGCUUUCCCUUAACAUUGGAGGGAAUGAUAGAACAACUGAAGGCAAAAUGAGGACUUGUUUCAUGAAGAGAACUUAUUCCUACACUCAAAAUGUGAUUGAUUUGGAAGAAUCAAUUGAGAGGAUACCAGAUGGGUAUUCAAAAUGGCCACCUCCUCAUGGCUGUGUUAUUCUGGAAACUCAUUCUAAAGGCAAGCAUGAAUCACAAGGUUCUGCUUUUUCUGAUCCAAUCAUUUCAACCAGUGUGAAGAAAAAUCUCUCUCAUGAGAUUGCAGAAAUUAGCUCUAUUCAAGAACGUAGUGAAUGUUGUCAAGAGGAGACCUUUUCCAGCGCAGAUCUAGGAGGGCAGUUGGAUCUGAACAAAGUUCACUUGGAUGACUCAUCUUGUUGCUCAGAUGAUCAUAUGCUUGCCUAUCCUUCAACAAGCUCAGGAGGCAGUUCUGAUGGACUUACUGGCAGCACGCGGGAUGGAUCUUGUCCUAGAACAUUUCAGAAAAAUGAAGCCACUGAGUGCUCAAAUGAACCUUCUGACUUGCUUAAACAAGAUAAUGUUGUGAAUCUUGCUUUUGUGGAUUUCAACAGCAAAAACAAAAGCACAGAUGUUUGGACUAUAAAUAAUGAAAUAAUUAGUAGUUUAGAGAGCGAGAGCCUUAUUGGUCCAGAAUCCAUGCUUAGCCCUACAGUAGGCAUUUCUGAAGAACUUUGUUGCUGCAGUGGAGAUCACAAGAAUGACAGUGUCGUGCUGAGGCCAAAACUUGCUAGAGAAGUAAGUUGCGAGAAGAGUGAGGUAGAGAAUGCUAUUUUUUCAUGUACUGAUCAAAGUCAAAAUACAUUGAUAGAUGAAAAUGGCAACAAGUCUCCUGCUUCCUGCAAGUCCUACUGCAUCUCUGAUAAUGAUUCAAGCAGUGCAAAGACAAAGCAUUCUAGCAUUACAUCCCACUUAGGAUCUCAAGUUGCCGAUGUCUUAACAGGCAUGCAUGACCAAAGAACUUCUGACAGCAGUGAAUUAAAAAAUGGCUGCUGCAAGAAGAAAGAAGAAUCAGCUGAAGUAGAUGUUUUGAUCCAACAAGCAGCUGAAUUGCUUAUCCAUAUAUCCUCAGAGCAUUCAGCUUGUUGUCAGGAUUCUUCUACAGAAGUGGGAUCCAAGGAGAUGGAAGAUUGCAAGAGAGAGCGACCACAGUGUUCUCUUGAUUCUUUUGAGUUAAUUACUUUAAAUCUAGAAGAAAGCAACAUGGAUGACCAUUCUGUGUCAUCAAAGCCAUUUGAAGUAAAUGACGUGGAGCUGAAGGAUUUUGGGCUUAAGUUGAGGCGGGGAAGGAGAAUGAAAGAUUUCCAGAGGGAGAUACUACCCAGUCUUGCAUCUCUUUCCAGACAUGAAAUUCUUGAAGAUAUAAACAUUAUGGAGGGAGUUUUAAGAUCCAGAGAGUACCGUAAGUUCAGAGCCAAGAUGGCAACUCAAGGAGAGAACUGGUCUGCACCAGUGAGAAGUAGAAGGUCAAGGCUUAGUUAUGCCGGAAGAAGAAUUUUUUCAUGAAAGUUCAAUUAAUAGCAUUACAACUGAACAUAAAUACAUUAUGGUUCUGUAUACCAUCAUUGCAAAUAUUGUCUGGAGUCAUUUCCAAGCUUUAGAAAUUAGAAUCGAUUACUUUCAGAAAGAUGAUGAAUUUUCACUUCUUGUUUUCAUUCUUGCUGAAGCAGUCUGUUCAUGUCCCCCAGCUGCUCCAAUCUCCCCCAACCCAAAGAACCUCUUGUUUUUUGCCGGGGUUGGAUCACGGAUGGUGCUAUUACAAUUUUGUUUCUUUGCCUGUGGUUUAAGGUUGAAGAGGGGCACUUAACCCACCAUGACCUGUUGAACAAUUAGAAACGCUUGCAAUCAAAUGGAAAUUCUUGAAAUAUUUCAACAAGAUGGUGUUGCAUUUCCUAGUUUCAUGGAUUUUAAUGUAGUUUCUAAACAAGUAGGGCACUUCAUGUGGAAGAACUUUUGAAACGUUAGAGCAAGGAUAUGGCUCGCAGAGAGCAGAUUUGCAUCCACGAGCAGCAUUUCAUGGAAAGAAUUUUAUUUCAUGAAUGUUUCAUUACAACAUGGCAAUAAACAAAAAUUUUGUAAGAGCAAUUCGUGGAUCUGUGGUAAGAGGGAACUUUUCUACAAUAGUUUUUAUGACAAUUCACAAACUUUGAGACAGUCCG